GAUGAACGCUGGCGGCGUGCUUAACACAUGCAAGUCGAACGGAAAGGCCCAGCUUGCUGGGUACUCGAGUGGCCAACGGGUGAGUAACACGCGGGUUAUCUGCCCUCAACUUCGGGUUAAGCCUGGGCAACUGGGUCUAAUACCGGAUAUAACCAACUGUCGCCUGCUGGAUGGUGGAAAGCUAUUGCGGUUGCGGAUGGUCCCGCGGCCGAUCAGCUUGUUGGUGGGGUAAUGGCCUACCAAGGCGACGACGGAUAGCCGACCUGUGAAGGUGAUCUGCCACCCUGGGACUGAGGCACGGCCCAGACUCGUACGGGAGGCAGCGGUGGGAAAUAUUGCACAAUGGGCGCAAGCCUGAUGCAGCGCCGCCGCGUGGGGGAUAACGGCCUACGGGUUGUAAACCUCUUUCACCAGGGACGAAGCGAGAGUGACGGUACCUGGAGAAGAAGCACCGGCCAACUACGUG
Molecule: ribosomal RNA, 466 nt
Filed under: uncultured bacterium
Lineage: Bacteria
Description: partial 16S ribosomal RNA
Rfam family: Bacterial small subunit ribosomal RNA
Source: RNAcentral